Molecule: ribosomal RNA, 415 nt
Filed under: uncultured bacterium
Lineage: Bacteria
Description: bacterial SSU rRNA
Rfam family: Bacterial small subunit ribosomal RNA
Source: RNAcentral
GGAAUAUUCCACAAUGGGGGAAACCCUGAUGGAGCGACGCCGCGUGAGUGAAGAAGGGCUUCGGCUCGUAAAGCUCUUUUCUGAAGGACGAAUGGCCAUUUGGAAUGGCAGAGACGGUACUUUGGGAAUAAGCCACGGCUAACUACGUGCCAGCAGCCGCGGUAAUACGUAGGUGGCAAGCGUUGUCCGGAAUUAUUGGGCGUAAAGGGAGCGCAGGCGGGUUUGCAAGUCCAAAUUAAAAGUGCAGGAGUAAUGCCUGUGAUGGUUUGGAAACUGCAAGUCUUGAGAGCAGGAGAGGCAAGCGGAAGUCCCGGUGUAGCGGUGAAAUGCGUAGAUAUCGGGAGGAACACCAGUGGCGAAGGCGGCUUGCUGGACUGUGUCUGACGCUGAGGCUCGAAAGCCAGGGUAGCGAACG